GACGAACGCUGGCGGCGUGCUUAACACAUGCAAGUCGAACGGAAAGGCCCUGCUUUUGUGGGGUGCUCGAGUGGCGAACGGGUGAGUAACACGUGAGUAGCCUGCCCUUGACUUUGGGAUAACUUCAGGAAACUGGGGCUAAUACCGGAUAGGAGCUCCUGCUGCAUGGUGGGGGUUGGAAAGUUUCGGCGGUUGGGGAUGGACUCGCGGCUUAUCAGCUUGUUGGUAGGGUAGUGGCUUACCAAGGCUUUGACGGGUAGCCGGCCUGAGAGGGUGACCGGCCACAUUGGGACUGAGAUACGGCCCAGACUCCUACGGGAGGCAGCAGUGGGGAAUAUUGCACAAUGGGCGGUAGCCUGAUGCAGCAACGCCGCGUGCGGGAUGACGGCCUUCGGGUUGUAAACCGCUUUCGCCUGUGACGAAGCGUGAGUGACGGUAAUGGGUAAAGAAGCACCGGCUAACUACGUGCCAGCAGCCGCGGUGAUACGUAGGGUGCGAGCGUUGUCCGGAUUUAUUGGGCGUAAAGGGCUCGUAGGUGGUUGAUCGCGUCGGAAGUGUAAUCUUGGGGCUUAACCCUGAGCGUGCUUUCGAUACGGGUUGACUUGAGGAAGGUAGGGGAGAAUGGAAUUCCUGGUGGAGCGGUGGAAUGCGCAGAUAUCAGGAGGAACACCAGUGGCGAAGGCGGUUCUCUGGGCCUUUCCUGACGCUGAGGAGCGAAAGCGUGGGGAGCGAACAGGCUUAGAUACCCUGGUAGUCCACGCUGUAAACGGUGGGUACUAGGUGUGGGGUCCAUUCCACGGGUUCCGUGCCGUAGCUAACGCUUUAAGUACCCCGCCUGGGGAGUACGGCCGCAAGGCUAAAACUCAAAGGAAUUGACGGGGCCCCGCACAAGCGGCGGAGCAUGCGGAUUAAUUCGAUGCAACGCGUAGAACCUUACCUGGGUUUGACAUGGAUCGGGAGUGCUCAGAGAUGGGUGUGCCUCUUUUGGGGUCGGUUCACAGGUGGUGCAUGGCUGUCGUCAGCUCGUGUCGCGAGAUGUUGGGUUAAGUCCCGCAACGAGCGCAACCCUUGUUCACUGUUGCCAGCACGUUAUGGUGGGGACUCAGUGGAGACCGCCGGGGUCAACUCGGAGGAAGGUGGGGAUGACGUCAAGUCAUCAUGCCCCUUAUGUCCAGGGCUUCACGCAUGCUACAAUGGCUGGUACAGAGAGUGGCGAGCCUGCGAGGGUGAGCGAAUCUCGGAAAGCCGGUCUCAGUUCGGAUUGGGGUCUGCAACUCGACCUCAUGAAGUCGGAGUCGCUAGUAAUCGCAGAUCAGCAACGCUGCGGUGAAUACGUUCCCGGGGCU
RNAcentral lists this ribosomal RNA (1346 nucleotides) under uncultured bacterium. RNAcentral describes it as "bacterial SSU rRNA". It matches the Rfam family "Bacterial small subunit ribosomal RNA", at positions 28 to 1381 of the family's 1533-position model. The record is from RNAcentral.